AUUGAACGCUGGCGGCAUGCCUUACACAUGCAAGUCGAACGGUAACAGGUCUUCGGAUGCUGACGAGUGGCGAACGGGUGAGUAAUACAUCGGAACGUGCCCGAUCGUGGGGGAUAACUACUCGAAAGAGUAGCUAAUACCGCAUACGAUCUACGGAUGAAAGCGGGGGAUCUUCGGACCUCGUGCGGACGGAGGGGCCGAUGGCAGAUUAGGGAGUUGGUGGGUUAAAAGCUUACCAAGCCGACGAUCUGUAGCUGGUCUGAGAGGACGACCAGCGACACUGGGACUGAGACACGGCCCAGACUCCUACGGGAGGCAGCAGUGGGGAAUUUUGGACAAUGGGCGAAAGCCUGAUCCAGCAAUGCCGCGUGCAGGAUGAAGGCCUUCGGGUUGUAAACUGCUUUUGUACGGAACGAAAAGACUCCUUCUAAUACAGGGGGUCCAUGACGGUACCGUAAGAAUAAGCACCGGCUAACUACGUGCCAGCCGCCGCAGUAA
This 498-nucleotide ribosomal RNA is filed under the name uncultured bacterium. RNAcentral describes it as "partial 16S ribosomal RNA". It matches the Rfam family "Bacterial small subunit ribosomal RNA", at positions 30 to 523 of the family's 1533-position model. The record is from RNAcentral.